CGUGAGGGAAAGGCGAAAAGAACCCCGGCGAGGGGAGUGAAAAAGAACCUGAAACCGUGUACGUACAAGCAGUGGGAGCACGCUUAGGCGUGUGACUGCGUACCUUUUGUAUAAUGGGUCAGCGACUUAUAUUCUGUAGCAAGGUUAACCGAAUAGGGGAGCCGAAGGGAAACCGAGUCUUAACUGGGCGUUAAGUUGCAGGGUAUAGACCCGAAACCCGGUGAUCUAGCCAUGGGCAGGUUGAAGGUUGGGUAACACUAACUGGAGGACCGAACCGACUAAUGUUGAAAAAUUAGCGGAUGACUUGUGGCUGGGGGUGAAAGGCCAAUCAAACCGGGAGAUAGCUGGUUCUCCCCGAAAGCUAUUUAGGUAGCGCCUCGUGAAUUCAUCUCCGGGGGUAGAGCACUGUUUCGGCAAGGGGGUCAUCCCGACUUACCAACCCGAUGCAAACUGCGAAUACCGGAGAAUGUUAUCACGGGAGACACACGGCGGGUGCUAACGUCCGUCGUGAAGAGGGAAACAACCCAGACCGCCAGCUAAGGUCCCAAAGUCAUGGUUAAGUGGGAAACGAUGUGGGAAGGCCCAGACAGCCAGGAUGUUGGCUUAGAAGCAGCCAUCAUUUAAAGAAAGCGUAAUAGCUCACUGGUCGAGUCGGCCUGCGCGGAAGAUGUAACGGGGCUAAACCAUGCACCGAAGCUGCGGCAGCGACGCUUAUGCGUUGUUGGGUAGGGGAGCGUUCUGUAAGCCUGUGAAGGUGUGCUGUGAGGCAUGCUGGAGGUAUCAGAAGUGCGAAUGCUGACAUAAGUAACGAUAAAGCGGGUGAAAAGCCCGCUCGCCGGAAGACCAAGGGUUCCUGUCCAACGUUAAUCGGGGCAGGGUGAGUCGACCCCUAAGGCGAGGCCGAAAGGCGUAGUCGAUGGGAAACAGGUUAAUAUUCCUGUACUUGGUGUUACUGCGAAGGGGGGACGGAGAAGGCUAUGUUGGCCGGGCGACGGUUGUCCCGGUUUAAGCGUGUAGGCUGGUUUUCCAGGCAAAUCCGGAAAAUCAAGGCUGAGGCGUGAUGACGAGGCACUACGGUGCUGAAGCAACAAAUGCCCUGCUUCCAGGAAAAGCCUCUAAGCAUCAGGUAACAUCAAAUCGUACCCCAAACCGACACAGGUGGUCAGGUAGAGAAUACCAAGGCGCUUGAGAGAACUCGGGUGAAGGAACUAGGCAAAAUGGUGCCGUAACUUCGGGAGAAGGCACGCUGAUAUGUAGGUGAAGUCCCUCGCGGAUGGAGCUGAAAUCAGUCGAAGAUACCAGCUGGCUGCAACUGUUUAUUAAAAACACAGCACUGUGCAAACACGAAAGUGGACGUAUACGGUGUGACGCCUGCCCGGUGCCGGAAGGUUAAUUGAUGGGGUCAGCGCAAGCGAAGCUCUUGAUCGAAGCCCCGGUAAACGGCGGCCGUAACUAUAACGGUCCUAAGGUAGCGAAAUUCCUUGUCGGGUAAGUUCCGACCUGCACGAAUGGCGUAAUGAUGGCCAGGCUGUCUCCACCCGAGACUCAGUGAAAUUGAACUCGCUGUGAAGAUGCAGUGUACCCGCGGCAAGACGGAAAGACCCCGUGAACCUUUACUAUAGCUUGACACUGAACAUUGAGCCUUGAUGUGUAGGAUAGGUGGGAGGCUUUGAAGUGUGGACGCCAGUCUGCAUGGAGCCGACCUUGAAAUACCACCCUUUAAUGUUUGAUGUUCUAACGUUGACCCGUGAUCCGGGUUGCGGACAGUGUCUGGUGGGUAGUUUGACUGGGGCGGUCUCCUCCUAAAGAGUAACGGAGGAGCACGAAGGUUGGCUAAUCCUGGUCGGACAUCAGGAGGUUAGUGCAAUGGCAUAAGCCAGCUUGACUGCGAGCGUGACGGCGCGAGCAGGUGCGAAAGCAGGUCAUAGUGAUCCGGUGGUUCUGAAUGGAAGGGCCAUCGCUCAACGGAUAAAAGGUACUCCGGGGAUAACAGGCUGAUACCGCCCAAGAGUUCAUAUCGACGGCGGUGUUUGGCACCUCGAUGUCGGCUCAUCACAUCCUGGGGCUGAAGUAGGUCCCAAGGGUAUGGCUGUUCGCCAUUUAAAGUGGUACGCGAGCUGGGUUUAGAACGUCGUGAGACAGUUCGGUCCCUAUCUGCCGUGGGCGCUGGAGAACUGAGGGGGGCUGCUCCUAGUACGAGAGGACCGGAGUGGACGCAUCACUGGUGUUCGGGUUGUCAUGCCAAUGGCACUGCCCGGUAGCUAAAUGCGGAAGAGAUAAGUGCUGAAAGCAUCUAAGCACGAAACUUGCC
Molecule: ribosomal RNA, 2311 nt
Filed under: Escherichia coli
Lineage: Bacteria; Pseudomonadati; Pseudomonadota; Gammaproteobacteria; Enterobacterales; Enterobacteriaceae
Description: partial 23S ribosomal RNA
Rfam family: Bacterial large subunit ribosomal RNA
Source: RNAcentral